AUGAACGCUGGCGGAAUGCUUUACACACUGCAAAGUCGAACGGCAGCACGGACUUCGGUCUGGUGGCGAGUGGCGAACGGGUGAGUAAUACAUCGGAACGUGCCCAGUCGUGGGGGAUAACAUAGCGAAAGCUACGCUAAUACCGCAUACGAUCUAAGGAUGAAAGCGGGGGAUCGCAAGACCUCGCGCGAUUGGAGCGGCCGAUGGCAGAUUAGGUAGUUGGUAGGGUAAAGGCCUACCAAGCCGACGAUCUGUAGCUGGUCUGAGAGGACGACCAGCCACACUGGGACUGAGACACGGCCCAGACUCCUACGGGAGGAAGCAGUGGGGAAUUUUGGACAAUGGGCGAAAGCCUGAUCCAGCCAUUCCGCGUGCAGGAUGAAGGCCCUCGGGUUGUAAACUGCUUUUGUACGGAACGAAAAGGUCCUGGUUAAUACCUGGGGCUCAUGACGGUACCGUAAGAAUAAGCACCGGCUAACUACGUGCCAGCAGCCGCGGUAAUACGUAGGUGCAAGCGUUAAUCGGAAUUACUGGGCGUAAAGCGUGCGCAGGCGGUGAUGUAAGACAGAGGUGAAAUCCCCGGGCUCAACCUGGGAACUGCCUUUGUGACUGCAUCGCUGAGUACGGCAGAGGGGGAUGGAAUUCCGCGUGUAGGCAGUGAAAUGCGUAGAUAUGCGGAGGAACACCGAUGCGAAGGCAAUCCCCUGGGCCUGUACUGACG
This 721-nucleotide ribosomal RNA is filed under the name uncultured beta proteobacterium. Its description in RNAcentral is "bacterial SSU rRNA". It matches the Rfam family "Bacterial small subunit ribosomal RNA", at positions 29 to 745 of the family's 1533-position model. Lineage: Bacteria; Pseudomonadati; Pseudomonadota; Betaproteobacteria. The record is from RNAcentral.